GCUACCACUUACAGAUGGACCCGCGGCGCAUUAGCUAGUUGGUGAGGUAACGGCUCMCCAAGGCRACGAUGCGUAGCCGACCUGAGAGGGUGAUCGGCCACACUGGGACUKAGACMCGGCCCAGACUCCUACGGGAGGCAGCAGUAGGGAAUCUUCCGCAAUGGACGAAAGUCUGACGGAGCAACSCCGCGUGAGUGAUGAAGGUUUUCGGAUCGUAAAACUCUGUUGUUAGGGAAGAACAAGUACCGUUCRAA
RNAcentral lists this ribosomal RNA (254 nucleotides) under Bacillus sonorensis. Its description in RNAcentral is "partial 16S ribosomal RNA". It matches the Rfam family "Bacterial small subunit ribosomal RNA", at positions 211 to 464 of the family's 1533-position model. The record is from RNAcentral. Lineage: Bacteria; Bacillati; Bacillota; Bacilli; Caryophanales; Bacillaceae.